CCCAGCCCGUCUGCCUGUCCCGGAGCCCCUUCUCCCAACCCUCGUACCAGAGUCCAUCCGAGACCCGGUACGGGCUGUGGGGGAUGGGGAGUCGGGGGUAAGCCGCUUGAGCCGGAGGAGGCCCCCCAGGGAGCGGCCGUCUCCCCGGAC
Molecule: microRNA precursor, 150 nt
Organism: Sarcophilus harrisii (Tasmanian devil)
Lineage: Eukaryota; Metazoa; Chordata; Mammalia; Dasyuromorphia; Dasyuridae
Gene: sha-mir-150
Product: sha-mir-150
Source: Ensembl